UCCUUAGAUGGUCUGGGCGGCACGCGCGCUACAAUGAUGCAUUCAAAAAGUCUUCUGACCUUAGAAGGUUGGGUAUUCUCCAAAGUGCAUCGUGAUGGGAAUAGUUUAUUGCAAUUUUUAAUCUUGAACGAGGAAUUCCUAGUAAGUACAGGUCAUCAACUUGUGUUGAUUACGUCCCUGCCCUUUGUACACACCGCCCGUCGCUCCUACUGAUUGAGUGUCUCGGUGAAUUCUUUGAUCUUCUGUCGAUUCAGUUCACUGAUCCGACGGUGGAAAGUUGAAUGAACUUCGUCACUUAGAGGAAGGAGAAGUCGUAACA
Molecule: ribosomal RNA, 319 nt
Filed under: uncultured eukaryote
Lineage: Eukaryota
Description: partial 18S ribosomal RNA
Rfam family: Eukaryotic small subunit ribosomal RNA
Source: RNAcentral